RNAcentral lists this ribosomal RNA (317 nucleotides) under Sartoriana spinigera. RNAcentral describes it as "partial 12S ribosomal RNA". The record is from RNAcentral. Lineage: Eukaryota; Metazoa; Arthropoda; Malacostraca; Decapoda; Gecarcinucidae.
AAGAAUUUGGCGGUAAUUUAGUCUUGGUUAGAGGAACCUGUUUUAGAAUUAUCGAUAAACCACGUAAGAUCUUACUUAUUUUAAUUAGUUUGUAUACCAUCAUUGUUAGAUAAUUUUUAAAGAAUAUUGAUUAUUGGGAUUAAUUAUAUUAAAUAAAUUAGAUCCAGGUGCAGCUUAUAAAUAAGUUAAAAUGGGUUACAAUAAUACUUAUUUAUUACGGAAUAAAUUAAUAAUGGAAUUUAAAGAAGGAGGAUUUAAUUGUAAUAUAAGAUUUAAUAAGGUUGUAUGAUAAAAGCUCUAAAUUAUGUACACAUCGC